UUUUCGCCCUCCGUUUGUGCAGGUUGUCUCUUCGCUGGAGGUACAUCGUCGGAAUCCUAAUCGCACAAGCGUAAAUGGCAACAGCCAUUGGUCGAUGAUCUUUCUGAUAUAUAUCUCCCUAUAAAUCCCUGUCGUUAAACUGAUAUUACUAACAGUUUUUGCAGCUUCGCCUGCCUCCUUGCAGAUCUCAAAAGAUACCUUGGAUUUGUCUAGCUCAAUACGCAGGGCCUUAUCUGCAGAUCUUAGAAGGAACAACGAGGUCUAGCAGCUCAAGGAUCUGCUGGUUGAAGCGUUCCAGACUGCAUAGACGGAAUCUUCUAAUUGUUGGACAAUGUCAUAUGUAAUUGCCUUGAAGCAUAAGCCUAGAGCAUGCGCUGCUUCAAUCCUUUAUUAGAAAAAUCAACUUCAUCAGUCUCAAAGGUGGCCAAGGUAGUCUUUGAUCCAAGAACCAACCCAAGUUUUUGCAAGUGGUCGUGAUUAGGAAAUGAUUCACAAAGAUCGUUUGAUUUUUAGGCAGCAAUAGUUGGCGCCGUCUCUGGGAAUUCUUUUGAGAGUUUUUUUUUUUUUCGAUCCUUGAUCAUGGCUACAUUAUACAAUUCGAAGUCAUAACCAACAAUGAGUGACCAAUAACCCCAAUUCAUACAUUCUGCACUAGGUGACAAUUCCAGCGUAAUGAGAAGUGAAUUCCUUGUAUUUUAGAAAAGGAUGGAGGACAUGUUCACUAUGAUUCUAUAGCAAAAAAAGGAUCAUAAGGAACCUGCUCCUCAUCCUAACCAAGUAGAACCUGAGUCAAAUGAGAAAGUUCCAUGUUGUUACUUUCAUAUAUUCUGUGUGGGUGUGUUCUGUAUGUAGCUCAUAUCUUUGAGUGGAUGACAUACAAAAGGAGAAAAUAUGGUUAAAAUUAGUGUGCUGGGGGGGGGGGGGAGACCGUCGAUGGUUUGCUUGAAUUUUCAGAAUGUUUGUUCUCGGUAUUUAUCCAUCGAAUAAACCGUCAACGGUUUGACUGAACAUGUAGAGACAGUUUGCUCUCGGUAUCUCAAUUGUCAAUGGUUUGAUGAAAUCAUUAACAGUUUCGUUCUGGGAACCAGCGCAAAUUUCAAAUUUUGAAUAAGUGAACGUUAAUAUGGUUGGGGUUUGGAGGGAAAAUCUCUGGGAAUUCUAUUUAUAUGUCUUAUUGGAUAUAUUUGUAGAGAGAUGGUUGUAAGAGUUGAAAAGAUUGUAUUGUUCUU
This is an RNA transcript of Malania oleifera, 1229 nucleotides long. RefSeq lists it as uncharacterized. NCBI's taxonomy places the organism in Eukaryota, Viridiplantae, Streptophyta, Magnoliopsida, Santalales, Ximeniaceae. The record is from RefSeq and is a predicted model, not a curated record. The transcript is spliced from 3 exons.